RNAcentral lists this long non-coding RNA (1035 nucleotides) under Ficedula albicollis (Collared flycatcher). RNAcentral's name for it is "lncRNA (ENSFALG00000025553.1)". Lineage: Eukaryota; Metazoa; Chordata; Aves; Passeriformes; Muscicapidae. The record is from RNAcentral.
AUGAUGCAUAUUAAUUCGCAUAGUUUGCAACCUGCCACAGGACUAGAGGAAAAGUUGCAAUAGGUUCAGCACAUGGCAUUUCAUAUGAAUUCUAAAAUUGCAUUUAUGAGUCUCAUAGACUUUACAAUAAUAUAUUAAUAUUAAAAGUAAAGGUCAUUCCACAUAACAGUUAAGCUGCCUGAGCUUCAACCUUUAUAUCAAUAACAGACUCAGGCUGAGGGCAUGAGGAGGAGGAAAACAAGUGGAAUGAUCUGAAUAAAUGUAAAAUGUUACUUAGAAAGAUUGCUGCCUUUUGCUGGGAUGUCCAUUUACACGUUUGUACUUCCAGUGGACAAUUAGGUUUCUGACAGGCCUGCCAUCAGAAUGAUUAAAUCAAUACCUUUCUGAUGGGAAUGUGAUUCCUUGGCAUGGGCCUUCAGGCCUCCAGGUAAGCCACUCUCACAUUAAUGACUGCCUUAUGACAUCAUAGCUGCACACAGUCCAAAGUUUCACAUCAUUGCAGGCAGCGUGGAACUUUGGAUAAUUGCUUUUGGCACAUGGAAUGAAUUAACCAAGGUGACUGGGAAGCUUUGACAGCAACACCCAUGGAAGAAAAGCAGCAGGAAUAAAAUCUCCUGGGCUGCAAUGACACUAACAUCAUGAAUGAAUUUAGGCUUACAAGUUGAAAUUGUUUUAUUGGAUAAACCAUGUGAUAAAUAGAUCUUUUCCCUCCACUCCUUGAUAUUUUUUAUUACUUCAAAUUUGAAUGUGAACAAGCCACAGCAUUACGCCACACUUCAGUGAACAUUCUUUUGCCAUCAAGUACCAUCAAGUUGAAGAUUUCCACUCUUUGAAAAAAAAUCAUAACUGAGAGGAAAUGUUCUUGUCAUAUGAAGUACACUGUAAAAUGUGGAAAGGAUUUUUGAUUUAUGCUGAUGUGAGCCCUCCAACUCUAGUGAGCUUCCAAGCGGUAUGGACUUAGGAAAAAAAAAAAAAAAAAAAAGGGGGGGGGGGGGGGGGGGGGGGGGGGGGGGGGGGGGGGGGGGGGGGGGGGGG